AUUGAACGCUGGCGGCAGGCCUAACACAUGCAAGUCGAACGGUAACAGGAAGAAGCUUGCUUCUUUGCUGACGAGUGGCGGACGGGUGAGUAAUGUCUGGGAAACUGCCUGAUGGCGGGGGAUAACUACUGGAAACGGUAGCUAAUACCGCAUAACGUCGCAAGACCAAAGAGGGGGACCUUCGGGCCUCUUGCCCUCGGAUGUGCCCAGAUGGGAUUAGCUAGUAGGUGGGGUAACGGCUCACCUAGGCGACGAUCCCUAGCUGGUCUGAGAGGAUGACCAGCCACACUGGAACUGAGACACGGUCCAGACUCCUACGGGAGGCAGCAGUGGGGAAUAUUGCACAAUGGGCGCAAGCCUGAUGCAGCCAUGCCGCGUGUAUGAAGAAGGCCUUCGGGUUGUAAAGUACUUUCAGCGGGGAGGAAGGGAGUAAAGUUAAUACCUUUGCUCAUUGACGUUACCCGCAGAAGAAGCACCGGCUAACUCCGUG
This 490-nucleotide ribosomal RNA is filed under the name uncultured bacterium. RNAcentral describes it as "partial 16S ribosomal RNA". It matches the Rfam family "Bacterial small subunit ribosomal RNA", at positions 30 to 507 of the family's 1533-position model. The record is from RNAcentral.